UAGUCCACACGGUAAACGAUGGAUACUCGCUGUUGGCGAUAUACAGUCAGCGGCUUAGCGAAAGCGUUAAGUAUCCCACCUGGGGAGUACGCCGGCAACGGUGAAACUCAAAGGAAUUGACGGGGGCCCGCACAAGCGGAGGAACAUGUGGUUUAAUUCGAUGAUACGCGAGGAACCUUACCCGGGCUUAAAUUGCACUGGACUUUCCCGGAAACGGGAUUUUCUUCGGACCAGUGUGA
RNAcentral lists this ribosomal RNA (239 nucleotides) under uncultured bacterium. RNAcentral's name for it is "partial 16S ribosomal RNA". It matches the Rfam family "Bacterial small subunit ribosomal RNA", at positions 791 to 1035 of the family's 1533-position model. The record is from RNAcentral.